RNAcentral lists this ribosomal RNA (532 nucleotides) under uncultured Bacteroidales bacterium. RNAcentral's name for it is "bacterial SSU rRNA". It matches the Rfam family "Bacterial small subunit ribosomal RNA", at positions 1 to 528 of the family's 1533-position model. The record is from RNAcentral. Lineage: Bacteria; Pseudomonadati; Bacteroidota; Bacteroidia; Bacteroidales.
UAGAGUUUGAUCCUGGCUCAGGAUGAACGCUAGCUACAGGCUUAACACAUGCAAGUCGCAGGGUAACAUGAGGAAAGCUUGCUUUCCUUGAUGACGACUGGCGCACGGGUGAGUAACGCGUAUCCAACCUUCCCAUAACUACGGGAUAACCCGUUGAAAGACGGCCUAAUACCGUAUGACAUCGUUUGCUGACAUCAAAUAACGAUUAAAGGUUUAGCGGUUAUGGAUGGGGAUGCGUCUGAUUAGCUUGUUGGCGGGGUAACGGCCCACCAAGGCGACGAUCAGUAGGGGUUCUGAGAGGAAGGUCCCCCACAUUGGAACUGAGACACGGUCCAAACUCCUACGGGAGGCAGCAGUGAGGAAUAUUGGUCAAUGGGCGAGAGCCUGAACCAGCCAAGUAGCGUGCAGGAAGACGGCCCUAUGGGUUGUAAACUGCUUUUAUGUGGGGAUAAAGUGCGUGACGUGUCAUGCAUUGCAGGUACCACAUGAAUAAGGACCGGCUAAUUCCGUGCCAGCCGCCGCGGUAAAAGGG